RNAcentral lists this ribosomal RNA (301 nucleotides) under uncultured bacterium. Its description in RNAcentral is "partial 16S ribosomal RNA". It matches the Rfam family "Bacterial small subunit ribosomal RNA", at positions 509 to 809 of the family's 1533-position model. The record is from RNAcentral.
CAGUCGCCGCGGUAAUACGUAGGUGGCAAGCGUUGUCCGGAAUUAUUGGGCGUAAAGGACUCGCAGGCGGUUUCUUAAGUCUGAUGUGAAAGCCCCCGGCUCAACCGGGGAGGGUCAUUGGAAACUGGGAAACUUGAGUGCAGAAGAGGAGAGUGGAAUUCCACGUGUAGCGGUGAAAUGCGUUGAGAUCGGAAAGAACACCAACGGCGAAAGCACUCUGCUGGGCCGACACUGACACUGAGAGACGAAAGCUAGGGGAGCAAAUGGGAUUAGAUACCCCUGUAGUCCCUGUCUCUUAUAA